GUGGGUAUAGCUCAGUGGUAGAGUGUGUGCUUAGCAUGCACGAGGUCUUGGGUUUAAUCCCCAGUAUACUCU
This 72-nucleotide transfer RNA is filed under the name Camelus bactrianus (Bactrian camel). It matches the Rfam family "tRNA". From Rfam's summary of the family: Transfer RNA (tRNA) molecules are approximately 80 nucleotides in length. Their secondary structure includes four short double-helical elements and three loops (D, anti-codon, and T loops). Further hydrogen bonds mediate the characteristic L-shaped molecular structure. tRNAs have two regions of fundamental functional importance: the anti-codon, which is responsible for specific mRNA codon recognition, and the 3' end, to which the tRNAs corresponding amino acid is attached (by aminoacyl-tRNA synthetases). tRNAs cope with the degeneracy of the genetic code in two manners: having more than one tRNA (with a specific anti-codon) for a particular amino acid; and 'wobble' base-pairing, i.e. permitting non-standard base-pairing at the 3rd anti-codon position. RNAcentral also lists the same sequence under 2 other names. The record is from Rfam by way of RNAcentral. Lineage: Eukaryota; Metazoa; Chordata; Mammalia; Artiodactyla; Camelidae.